RNAcentral lists this ribosomal RNA (526 nucleotides) under Arthrobacter agilis. RNAcentral describes it as "bacterial SSU rRNA". It matches the Rfam family "Bacterial small subunit ribosomal RNA", at positions 393 to 918 of the family's 1533-position model. The record is from RNAcentral. Lineage: Bacteria; Bacillati; Actinomycetota; Actinomycetes; Micrococcales; Micrococcaceae.
GACGCCGCGUGAGGGAUGAAGGCCUUCGGGUUGUAAACCUCUUUCCCUUGUGAAGAAGCCGGUCUUUGGGGUUGGUGACGGUACCUGCCUAAGAAGCGCCGGCUAACUACUUGCCAGCAGCCGCGGUAAUACGUAGGGCGCAAGCGUUAUCCGGAAUUAUUGGGCGUAAAGAGCUCGUAGGCGGUUUGUCGCGUCUGCCGUGAAAGUCCGGGGCUUAACUCCGGAUCUGCGGUGGGUACGGGCAGACUAGAGUGCAGUAGGGGAGACUGGAAUUCCUGGUGUAGCGGUGAAAUGCGCAGAUAUCAGGAGGAACACCGAUGGCGAAGGCAGGUCUCUGGGCUGUAACUGACGCUGAGGAGCGAAAGCAUGGGGAGCGAACAGGAUUAGAUACCCUGGUAGUCCAUGCCGUAAACGUUGGGCACUAGGUGUGGGGGACAUUCCACGUUUUCCGCGCCGUAGCUAACGCAUUAAGUGCCCCGCCUGGGGAGUACGGCCGCAAGGCUAAAACUCAAAUGAAUUGACGGGG